CAAAAAAGCAUGCACCGAUUUGGUCAGUGAUUACUUUCAAUGUAACUGGUAGAAUUAAUUAUUUUAUAAGAAUAUAUAAGAACUCAUGAAACCUUGUGGCUCUGUCCAGCUUGUCCUCCUAAAUUGGCUAGACAGCAAGACAAAUUUUCCGCGUAAUUAUUGCCCCCUAUUGUUUUUCUAGGAUUCCCGUGCAGUUGCUCAUAUAAGUAAUAGAACUAUUUGCCCUAGUUGACUUCCAUUUCCUAUUUUCUUUAAUGGGAAAUCCAAGUUGCGUUGUUACAUAUGAUAAUUUGAGGCCAAUUACAAUAGUGUAGUCCGGACUCUAAUCUUCCCUUCCAACUAAGACUCUCAACACCUAUAUGCUUAAGCAAUCCCACAAUGGGCAGUACAAGUAUAGGACAGGAGAAACAGUAACCACUUGGCCAAAGACGUACCUGGCAUCCAGUACCGAAAACCCGGCCACCUUUCUAGUUCGUGCCAUCGUGGCCCAGAGCCACGAGAUCGCAAUCCACGACACAACAUUUAGGCUAACAGCUUGAACACGUCUUUCAGAGGCAUUUCGUUGAACAUGCGCCAGUGCGGCAAUUCGCAGCUUGAACACGACAUGGAGAUGAACCUGAUCAUCCAUCGCAGCGGCGGCGUCCGACACGGCCGUGUUGGCGGCGGAGCGGACGCGGCAGGACCCCCCUCGACGGGCUGAGGUGCUACACCGGCGGCUGGAACAUCAACAACAGGCAGUACCUGGCGUCUGCAGGUUUCAGCGCUGCACCGGUUGGGUGGAAGACUGGAGUGUGCUACAGAUCUUGCGGCUGGACUGUCGGUUGAGGAGCCGACGGCUGCUGACGAGUCGGAUCAACGUGUCGUAGCGCAUCUGCUGCCUCAUCGUACCACACCAUUGGUGCUGCAGUUCUAAGAGGAUCCUGGACGCCUGCCCCAUGCCGAUUUCUGGAGAAGCUUGUUGGCAUUGCGGAGCUGUCGGUUGGGGUGCUGAUGGAGAUGAUGCCUACACCGAGGAUCUUGGAAAGUAAGCGCCUGGAGGCAUUCCGUAGUUGGUGGGUGGAUCCAGGCUGGCGGGUGUUCCUGCCGUUGCCCAUUGCGCCAAUGCUGUUAACGGCGGUUGUACAGGAGGGACUGGCGUGAGCUGAAACGGUACCCGUGAUGGAGAAGGUAGUGCACCGCUAUACCUUAGGGGCAAUGGGGUGUUGUCCCCCCCCCCCCCCCACUCUACAUCUGCAUCGGUUGAGGAGCCAAUUGGAAUAUGCUGGGUGCCACCGAAAGGUU
Long non-coding RNA from Setaria italica (foxtail millet), 1281 nucleotides. RefSeq lists it as uncharacterized. The transcript has 2 exons. The record is from RefSeq and is a predicted model, not a curated record. NCBI's taxonomy places the organism in Eukaryota, Viridiplantae, Streptophyta, Magnoliopsida, Poales, Poaceae.